Molecule: ribosomal RNA, 425 nt
Filed under: uncultured bacterium
Lineage: Bacteria
Description: partial 16S ribosomal RNA
Rfam family: Bacterial small subunit ribosomal RNA
Source: RNAcentral
GUGGGGAAUAUUGGACAAUGGGCGAAAGCCUGAUCCAGCAAUGCCGCGUGAGUGAUGAAGGCCUUAGGGUUGUAAAGCUCUUUUACCAGGGAUGAUAAUGACAGUACCUGGAGAAUAAGCUCCGGCUAACUCCGUGCCAGCAGCCGCGGUAAUACGGAGGGAGCUAGCGUUGUUCGGAAUUACUGGGCGUAAAGCGCACGUAGGCGGUUACUCAAGUCAGAGGUGAAAGCCCGGGGCUCAACCCCGGAACUGCCUUUGAAACUAGGUAACUAGAAUCUUGGAGAGGUCAGUGGAAUUCCGAGUGUAGAGGUGAAAUUCGUAGAUAUUCGGAAGAACACCAGUGGCGAAGGCGACUGACUGGACAAGUAUUGACGCUGAGGUGCGAAAGCGUGGGGAGCAAACAGGAUUAGAAACCCCUGUAGUCC